CUGCGAUGCGGCAGCCUACCAUGCAGUCGAGCGCACCUUCGGGUGAGCGGCGGACGGGUGAGUAACGCGUGGGAACGUACCCUUCUCUGCGGAAUAGCCACUGGAAACGGUGAGUAAUACCGCAUACGCCCUUCGGGGGAAAGAUUUAUCGGAGAAGGAUCGGCCCGCGUUGGAUUAGGUAGUUGGUGGGGUAAUGGCCUACCAAGCCUACGAUCCAUAGCUGGUUUGAGAGGAUGAUCAGCCACACUGGGACUGAGACACGGCCCAGACUCCUACGGGAGGCAGCAGUGGGGAAUCUUAGACAAUGGGCGCAAGCCUGAUCUAGCCAUGCCGCGUGAGUGAAGAAGGCCUUAGGGUCGUAAAGCUCUUUCGCUGGGGAAGAUAAUGACUGUACCCAGUAAAGAAACCCCGGCUAACUCCGUGCCAGCAGCCGCGGUAAUACGGAGGGGGUUAGCGUUGUUCGGAAUUACUGGGCGUAAAGCGCGCGUAGGCGGAUCAGAAAGUUGGGGGUGAAAUCCCGGGGCUCAACCUCGGAACUGCCUCCAAAACUCCUGGUCUUGAGUUCGAGAGAGGUGAGUGGAAUUCCGAGUGUAGAGGUGAAAUUCGUAGAUAUUCGGAGGAACACCAGUGGCGAAGGCGGCUCACUGGCUCGAUACUGACGCUGAGGUGCGAAAGUGUGGGGAGCAAACAGGAUUAGAUACCCUGGUAGUCA
Molecule: ribosomal RNA, 712 nt
Filed under: Salipiger marinus
Lineage: Bacteria; Pseudomonadati; Pseudomonadota; Alphaproteobacteria; Rhodobacterales; Roseobacteraceae
Description: bacterial SSU rRNA
Rfam family: Bacterial small subunit ribosomal RNA
Source: RNAcentral